This 252-nucleotide ribosomal RNA is filed under the name uncultured bacterium. RNAcentral's name for it is "partial 16S ribosomal RNA". It matches the Rfam family "Bacterial small subunit ribosomal RNA", at positions 524 to 776 of the family's 1533-position model. The record is from RNAcentral.
UACGGAGGAUGCGAGCGUUAUCCGGAUUUAUUGGGUUUAAAGGGUGCGUAGGCGGGCUUUUAAGUCAGCGGUAAAAAUUCGGGGCUCAACCCCGUCCGGCCGUUGAAACUGGGGGCCUUGAGUGGGCGAGAAGAAGGCGGAAUGCGUGGUGUAGCGGUGAAAUGCAUAGAUAUCACGCAGAACCCCGAUUGCGAAGGCAGCCUUCCGGCGCCUUACUGACGCUGAGGCACGAAAGUGCGGGGAUCGAACAGG